CCUACGGGGUGCAGCAGUGAGGAAUAUUGGUCAAUGGACGAGAGUCUGAACCAGCCAAGUAGCGUGAAGGAUGACUGCCCUAUGGGUUGUAAACUUCUUUUAUAUGGGAAUAAAAUGUUCCACGUGUGGGAUUUUGUAUGUACCAUAUGAAUAAGGAUCGGCUAACACCGUGCCAGCAGCCGCGGUAAUACGGAGGAUCCGAGCGUUAUCCGGAUUUAUUGGGUUUAAAGGGAGCGUAGGUGGAUUGUUAAGUCAGUUGGGAAAGUUUGGGGGUCAACCGUAAAAUUGCAGUUGAAACUGGCAGGCUUGAGUGCAGUAGAGGUGGGCGGAAUUCGUGGUGUAGCGGUGAAAUGCUUAGAUAUCACGAAGAACUCCGAUUGCGAAGGCAGCUCACUGGACUGGAACUGACGCUGAGGCUCGAAAGUGUGGGUAUCAAACAGGAUUAGAUACCCUUGUAGUC
RNAcentral lists this ribosomal RNA (460 nucleotides) under uncultured bacterium. RNAcentral describes it as "partial 16S ribosomal RNA". It matches the Rfam family "Bacterial small subunit ribosomal RNA", at positions 338 to 795 of the family's 1533-position model. The record is from RNAcentral.